This 308-nucleotide long non-coding RNA is filed under the name Cicer arietinum (chickpea). RNAcentral's name for it is "long non-coding RNA (CARI_LNC003552)". The record is from RNAcentral. Lineage: Eukaryota; Viridiplantae; Streptophyta; Magnoliopsida; Fabales; Fabaceae.
AUAUAUGCCUCCUUGACUAUGAUUUUGAUAUAACUUCCAAACAUACAAUGUAUAUGCAUUAUCUGAUUAAUCUAAUAGUUUGAGUUGAGAUACAUUUCAGGAAAGAAUCAAACACUACACUUGGACAAAUCUUGGAUCUCAAGCAAAGAUUGAUCAUAUCAUACAAGGCUUGAAGAUUAUGUGUAAAUGUGUCUAUUGUUCAUAGUGUUUAUUAGUUAGAUUCAUCAUUAUGAUUUCACACAUCUAAUAUUUGCCAAUUAAAACUGAAAUCAUAAAAUAAGUAUGUUAAUCAAUCAAUUGGUAAAUCA